GAUGAACGCUGGCGGCGUGCCUAAUACAUGCAAGUCGAGCGAACAGACGAGGCUCUUGCUCGUCUGACGUUAGCGGCGGGGGGGUGAGUAACACGAGGAUCCCCUACCUAAAAGACUGAUAUCACUACGAGAAACCGGAUCAAACAUCGGAUAAUAUAUUGAACCGCGUGGGUCGUUAGUAAACGUCGGUGUUGCUGGCACUUCUAGAUGGUUCCCGGCCGGUUGAUCGAGUAGGUAAGGUAACGGCUUUCCAAGGCAACGAUGCGUGGCCGACCUGAGAGGGGGAUCGGCCACACUGGAACUGAGACACGGUCCAGACUCCUACGGGAGGCAGCAGUAGGGAAUGUUCCGCAAUGGGCGAAAGCUUGACGGAGCAACGCCGCGUGUGUGAUGAAGGUCUUCGGAUCGUAAAACUCUGUUAGGAGGGAAGAACAAAUGUGUAAGUAAACAUGCCCGUAUUGACGGUACCUAAUCAGAAAGCACCGGCUAACUACGUG
RNAcentral lists this ribosomal RNA (497 nucleotides) under uncultured bacterium. RNAcentral describes it as "partial 16S ribosomal RNA". It matches the Rfam family "Bacterial small subunit ribosomal RNA", at positions 28 to 507 of the family's 1533-position model. The record is from RNAcentral.